CUGUAGGCCAUCACUGUAUAUGAUUAUAUAUAUAUACUCAUGACUAUCCUUCAACUGAUACUGCUCUUUCUUUUCACUCCACAUGUGCCUAUGAGGUUGCCGGGAGCCACAGACAACAUCUGGGACAGAGACUUUGCCUUUGAACUGAAGUGUUGCCGGCCGGUUUCCUGAACUUCCAAAAGACUUUGUUUUCCUUUUCUUU
Alosa sapidissima (American shad) is the source of this 202-nucleotide long non-coding RNA. RefSeq lists it as uncharacterized. NCBI's taxonomy places the organism in Eukaryota, Metazoa, Chordata, Actinopteri, Clupeiformes, Clupeidae. The record is from RefSeq and is a predicted model, not a curated record. The transcript has 3 exons.